This 399-nucleotide ribosomal RNA is filed under the name uncultured bacterium. RNAcentral's name for it is "bacterial SSU rRNA". It matches the Rfam family "Bacterial small subunit ribosomal RNA", at positions 30 to 429 of the family's 1533-position model. The record is from RNAcentral.
AUUGAACGCUGGCGGCAUGCCUUACACAUGCAAGUCGAACGGCAGCACGGGAGCUUGCUCCUGGUGGCGAGUGGCGAACGGGUGAGUAAUACAUCGGAACGUACCCUGAAGUGGGGGAUAACGUAGCGAAAGUUACGCUAAUACCGCAUAUUCUGUGAGCAGGAAAGAGGGGGAUCGCAAGACCUCUUGCUUUAGGAGCGGCCGAUGUCGGAUUAGCUAGUUGGUGAGGUAAAGGCACACCAAGGCGACGAUCCGUAGCGGGUCUGAGAGGAUGAUCCGCCACACUGGGACUGAGACACGGCCCAGACUCCUACGGGAGGCAGCAGUGGGGAAUUUUGGACAAUGGGCGCAAGCCUGAUCCAGCCAUGCCGCGUGAGUGAAGAAGGCCUCGGUUGUAAG